GUAGUCUCAGAUUUCUCAUCUAGUAACACCUGCUUCAUAAGUUUGUGUUAAGAAUUAGCAGACGUUUUGAUACAUAAUAAGAAUAAAUGCUAACUGCUAUUAUUAUCAUUAAUAGUAUAAACUGAUACUAUUAUUAUCAUUAAUAGUACACAACUCUACUCUUAAUAAAAGAGUAGAACUUUUUGAGGGGGGAUAGGAGGAGGUUGGCAGGUGGUGGAGAGAAUACCAAGACCUAGGCUCUCCUGAUCUCCCUGCAUCCCUGUCAUUUUUGGCAAUGUCGCUAAUCGGCCCAGCAGCCCGAAUCCACACGCCCCGGCGUCCGGGCUCUGCAAGGUGCAGCUGGUCUCAGGCCCUGUCUCAGAAUACAGAAGUAAUCAGAAUUUAUUCACGUGGGCCGACUGAGAGUUUUGACGUCAAAGGGCAAUCCUGUCUGAUUGAUACCACUCAAAUGGCAAUAUUGUUUGAAGAAAUGUAGUUAGAGAGAUGGCAAUUUAAAGGCUAUAAGAAGUUACAGGAAAAGAUUUUGUGAAUAGAGACUAUAAAGCACUCCUGUAACCUUGGCCCCAAAGAGGGCUCUCCAGACAGAAAGUUGCCUGCAUGUCCCGGUGCGUGUUUUUGAGUGUGAUACUGUUCUUCACUGCUCUGUCCCAAGAAAUCCAGCAUUGCCUAUGGCAUACCUUCUGAGGAAAGCCUUUGGGGCAAAGAAAUUACAAAAAUGAAGAGUUCAUACUUAAGGAAUUCAAUCUGAAUGAACCCAGGAGAGGGCAAGGGAUAGUCAUUUGCACUCGGUUUUCAGAAGCUAUAAGUGAAUACUAUCAAAAGGCGAUCCCUAUGACUUGGUCAUUACUGAAAAGGCAACAAAAUUGAAGACUGUCUUCUCAUAAUUAGGGCGCUGAACACUGACUAAGAGGAGAGAGCGCACAUUACAUGGAGACCAUGGUCCCCAUACCAGAAACAUGAGAGUAGAGAGAAGCAAAGCCAGCAUCGUGGAGCCAGUCCCUUUAUCCAGGAUCUUGGAGGGAUACAGUCUUCUGUAGAAAUUAAAUAAAGACUGAAUUCUUCAAUGGGUAUUUUGAGAAGAGAGCCACUGUAAGCUUAUACACUGUGAAUUGCAAAAUGUUACUGCCUCUGGGUGGACAGGUUUUAAAAAGACUUUUUUUUUUCCUCCUGGCAUGGCUGACAGAGGGAAGGCUGGGUUUCAAUCCCAUCUUUCCCUUCCCUUGCCCAGUGCUUCUUUAUGUGCACAACCUGCACAACUAUAUGUGGUUUGCAAACACGCAUAAGCAAAGACUAACAGCUUCUGAAACAAACUCUGAAUAAAAGAGGGAGCAUAUUAAGGCAGAUGGCAGAGGAGGUGAGCAGCAUGGGCAGAUAGAAGCAUCACAGAGACUACAAGAAGAAUGUGCCAGACCGGCUCAUAGUGGCCACACUGAUUAAGAAUUACCAUCAGCUCUUUAGGAUUUGGAAACUUGGAAACACAUUGUGUGUUCUUCCUGGUUUGUUAUAGAGUAUGUGUAUGUACUUCUUUCUCUUAAAAAUAUUUAUUUUUAAAGAAUUGACUUAUAAAAUUAUAUGUAUUUGUCAUGUAUAACACAAUAUUUUGAAGUACAGUCCUGUGUCAUAAGGAUAUGUUCUGAGAAAUCCAUCAAUUUUGUCAUUGUAUAAACAUGAUAGAGUGUAUUUACACAAACCUAGGUGGUAUAAACUACUACACACCUAGGCUACAUAAUGUAGCCUAUUGCUCCUAGGCUAUAAACCUGUAUAACAUGCUACUGUACUAAAUACUAUAGACAAUAGUCACAUACUGGUGAGUAUUUGCGUAUCAAAACAUAUCUAAAUAUAGAAAAGAUGCAGUAAAAAUAUGGUAUUACAAUCUUAUGAGACCACUAUAGUAUAUGAGGUCCAUCAUUGAUUAAAACAUAGUUAUAUGGUGCAUGACUGUAUAUAUGCAUUGUGGAAUGGUUAAAUCUAGCUAACUAACAAAUGUGUUAUAUCACAUAGUUAUUAUUUUUGAGGUGAGAAUACAAUAUUCACUCUCUUAGCAUUUUUUAAGAAUACAGUAUAUUAACUAUAGUCACCAUGCUGAAUGGUAGAUCUCUGGAACUAAUUUCUCCUAUCUAAGUGUGAUUAUGUACCCUUUGACCAACAUCUUUCUAACCCCACCCCACAAACACCCCAUAAUAAAGCCUCUUGUAACCACCAUUUUACUCCUUUUUCUAUGAGAAUGGCCUUCUUUGUCUCUCCUUUUGUCUGUCCUUACAGUUUUUUACUUAAUGUCUAUUUUGCCUGAUAUUAAUACAAGUAUACUUCCUCCUGCUCUCUUUUAGUUUCUACUUGCAUAGAAUAUCUUUUUCUGUUCCUUCAUUUUCAGUCUGUGUGUCCUUAUAGGUAAAGUGAGUCUCCUGUAGGCAGCAGAUAGUUGGGUUGGCUCUUUUUUUUUUUAAUCCAUCCCAGCCACUUUAUGUAUUUUGAUCAGAGACCUUUAUCCUUUUACAACCAAGGUAAUUAUUAGUAGAUAAGGACUUACUACUGACAUUUUGUUUAUUGCUUUCUCAUUGUUUGAUAGAUUGUUGUGUGUGGUUUUUAUUACAGGGUGUAUCUUGAGUCAUCUCAAUUAAUCUUGAUGCUCUUGGUUCCUACAUCGCUGUUAGCAUUGAGGAUGUUAGAGUGCAGAGUAUCAAAACCAGCAUUCAUCAGAAAGAAAGGAUGUUUACACAAACAUUAAGGCAUGGAAGAGAGUCAGUGGGGUGGGGAUGGGAAAGGAAAGAAUAUCCUAGGCUGAGAAAAUCACUGAAGCAAGAAAAUGGUGUAUAUGAGCAUGGGUUCUUUUAGAAACUAUCUUAACACCUGAUCAAAUGUGGGUGUUUCUGAGAAUGCUGAGCUGAUUAUGGCACAUUCUCUGUCCUGGAGAAGCUGGAAGCAUUUUUACAUCUACCCUAUUUGAUCCUCAUACAAAUUUUAUAAAUUAGAUAAGAAACAUCUUAAUAACUAAAAGUCACUGAAGAGGGAACCUUAAAAAAAGUACUUUAAAAAAGUACACAAGACUUAAGUUUACACAACUAACUCUAGGAAUGCUGGGACUGGAACCCAGCUGCCUGGCAAGUACCAUGGUGUUUUCAACCGGAUCAGAGAGGGGUGAGCUUUUUCCUGCUUCUUCCCCAGAGCAGUAAAUUAAAAAAAAAAAAAAGCGUUAUUGCUGUUAUUUUAUUAUGAUGAUUAUUACUAUUAUCAGAUAGUGAGGGGUGAAGGAAGAGAGUACAGCCAGAUUUCUUCAUUUCUCUCUACUAGUGGUAAUGUGUGUGGGGGCAUAAUAAACUCAAUUAAAGGAGUUCUGAGUAUUUGCAGAGCAAGUUUGUUCAUCUGUCUCAACUGCUUUAAAGAUUUUUUAUUUUAAUAAGAUAAAUAGUUAACUCAUCCUGCUAAAUGAAUUUUCUGCUAAUAACCAUAUACCUCUCCCACAACACUAAUCACAAAGUAUAUUUCUAAAGUGAUUCCAGCCCUGUUUGGGGAAUCAGUAUUAUUUACUCUUUUUCCUCUAGUCCCUAGCACAAUGUCUGGGCUAGAGGAUUCAUUUGAUCACUCAGGAAAUAUUCAUUGAGAACCUACUAUGUGGCAGUCACUAUUUUAGGUACUUAGGACAUAGCAGUGAAGAAAGUAGAUAUGAUUCUUUCUCUAAUGCAGCUUAUAUUUUGAUGGAAUAUUUUAGUAUUUCUAUAAAUAAAUAAAGAUAUGUGUUACAAAGAAAAUUAAAGAGAUGUGAUAAUGAUGAAAUGGGAUAAUUUGCUUGGGUGCCCAGGAAGGUUACUUUGAGGAAGUGACAUUGGAACUGAGACUCAAAUGUCAAGUUUUAAAUGUAGGAAAAAGCUUUGCAUGCCUGAAAAAUGGAAAGAUGAAUAUUAUGGCUUGAGGCUGAAGGGGCAAAGGAAGUGGUGUGGAGGUGAGUGGAAAGAUUCCAAGGUGGUCUUUUCACAGAGGAGGGUGAGGGAGCUAGGUAAUGUCAAAAGCUGACCCAUGUUGCUAGGCUGUCAAAAGUACCAGGCUACAAAGAUUCUCCAAAACUUAAUUAAAUUUAAAAAUAUUUGUGCUCCAAAGGACACCAUCAAGAAAGUAAAAAAAUAACCCACCAAAUGGGAGAAAAUAUUGGCAAAUCAUGUAUCUGAUAAGAGGCUUGUAUCCAGAAAUAUAAAGAACUCUUACAAUUCAAUGGAUAAAUAAACCAAUUUAAAAAAUGAGCAAAAGACUUGAAUAAAUGUUUCUUUAAAGAAGAGAUAUAAAUGGCCAAUUAACAAAUGUAAAGAUCCUCUUCAUCUUUAGUUAUCAGAAAAAUGCAAAUCAAAUCAUGAAAUACUCUCUCAAACCCACUAGAUGGCUAGAAUUUAAAAAGUCAGUAACAAGUUGUUGGCAAGGAUAUAUGGAAAACAAUCCUCAUACCCUUCUGGGAAUGUAAAUGGGAAUGUUAAAUGGUGCAGCUGCUUUAAAUGUCAAAUGGUCCAGCAAUUCUAUUUCUACAUAUAUAUACCCAAGAGAAAUGAAAGCAUAUGCCUCAACAAAAACUUGUACACAAAUGGCAUUAUUCAUAAUAGCCAAAGAUGGGAAUAACUCAAAUGACCAUCGACUGAUAAAUGAACAAACAAAAUGUGGCAUAUCCAUACAGUGGAACUGGCCAUAAAAGGAAUAAAAUGCUAAUACAUGCUAUAACAUGGAUGGACCUUGAAAACAUGAUGGUAAGUGAAAGAAGCCAGUCACAAAGGGCCACAUAUAUCAUUCCAUUCACAUCAAGUUUCCAGAACAGAGAAUUCUAUACAGUCAGAAAGUAAAUUAGUAGUUGCUUGGUGGUGGGGGAUGGGAAGACAGGGUAGUAGUUAAAGGGUACAGGAUUUCUUUUUGAGGUGAUGAACAUGUUCUAAAAUUUGCUGUGGAGAUGGUUGCAUAAAUCUGUAAACAUAUUAAAAGUCAUUAAAUUGUACACUUGAAAUGGGUGAACUGUAUGGUGUGUGAAAUAUAUCUUAAUAAAGCUAUUUUAAAAAAACACUAAAAAAGCUCCCAAAGCCUAAGGUACACUUUAUACUACUAAGAGAUUCAGGCUCUUCAGAUAAAAUUUACUACUUCCAGAUUAGAAUACUUCUGUGCCCAAGGGAGAAUCAUCAAUGAGGCUAUUCUUAGAACACAAAGCUUUCCUUCCUAAAAUACUGGAAAGGAGCAACACCUUGAACACCACAGGAAACCCAUAAAUAUCUAAUUUGCA
RNAcentral lists this long non-coding RNA (5245 nucleotides) under Homo sapiens (human). RNAcentral's name for it is "HSALNT0011076". The record is from RNAcentral. Lineage: Eukaryota; Metazoa; Chordata; Mammalia; Primates; Hominidae.